GAGGUGGCAGGAGAAAGGACGGCUCAGGAGUCUGGUUUCAGACGCUGGCUGGGUGGCAUUGCUGCUCCUCAAAGCAAGUACCAAGCUAGAGGACCUGUCCUGGAGGCCUGGACCAGGAUGUGGCCUGGGGCCAUUUGAGCUCUUGAGGCCAGAAGUCCAAGAUGGAGACAGGGGCAGGACGGGUGUCUCCAGAGCUGGCUCCCUGCCCCUUCGCGGGCCGUCCUCUGCCGUCUCCCCUGGCUUCUCUGCACUCCAGCUGCAGACAGAUGGGGACCCACCAGAGGACCUCGCUUCACCUUCAUCCUGCAUGCAGGACACACACGUGUGUGCGUGAGUGUGCAGAACUCGGGACACAGGCAAACGGAGCAACGGCUGUUUGAGGCCUGCAACUGCAGGGUUUUAUUCCAUCAGUAAAGAUGUACAUCUCCCAGGACUUAGGGCUUCCCGAUAAAUGUAAUCGAGUUUUAAAGAUAAAACUGGACUUAUUAAAGGUACAGCUUUCCAUAGGUGUGUUUUUUUGCCCCUGAAUUACGUACAAUCUCCUUAUUUUUGUUAUUAUAGUGUUGAAGUGGAUGGAGGUCUCCUGUUUUAAUAUUCUUUUUUUUCCACUGAGCCACAUCCCCAGCCCUUUUUGUAUUUUAUUUAGAGACAGGGUCUCACUGAGUUGCUUAAGGGCCUCACUAAAUUGCUGAGGCUGACUGAUCUUGUGAUUGUUAGGAUGGCCUUAGGCCUGAGACUAAGCAACUCCAUUUUAAAAACUCCAGUUUAACCUGCCGUUCACCAGGCACACCACAGAGCCCUCCAGUGUGGCCUCAGAAAAGUCACCUCCCCUCACCCUGAUAAACAGAGGGAAGCCCCUGGCAGGCUGUCCUCGCCUGAUAAGAGGGAAAAGUGAGAAGAUCAGGGUGGAGACCACCAGACCAGACGUUUCUGACCCCAGGGUAAAUGAUGUCACUGAGAAAUCCAGUGGUAGCUGAUAAGGAUUGAAAGAGGGGUCAAAAAAAAACCAAAAUUUAGUAUAAAUGAUAGAGCAAAGGAACAAGGAUGCCCUCGAGCUGGAGAGCCUGCUGAGGACCUGACAUCCCAUCACUGUCAUCAUUCCCUGAGCCUCCGCCUGAUCCUCACUGCUCUCACACUCCACAGCCUCAUCUGGACCUUGGUGAGAGCCGCAACGCCUCCCUAAGACCCCCUCCUCUACUGGGCGUCCACUCCACACCAGGAAAAGCCUGCUUUGGUUCCAGACCUGAUCCCCAUGGUCUGAGUGAGUGUGCAUCUGCUGGACAUAAAGCCUAAGGCUUGAGACUUUUGAGCUUAGCACACAGAGGGAAUGUCUGUCACGAGCCUGUCAUGAUCAAGUGCAUUUGCAGUGCUUACAAUUAAUCUAGAGUUUUUUGUUGUGAAUUAAUUCAUCUAGAAUUGUUUGCUGUGAAUUGAUCAUGGCUAUUGCAGUGCCUAGCAUUAAGGAUUGUCGUUUUCUUGAUUAAGAACCUGUAGAGUGAAAUUGUAUGGAGUAAUUUGAGUGAAUAAAGCAUUGAAAGAGGCACAA
Long non-coding RNA from Marmota monax (woodchuck), 1546 nucleotides. RefSeq lists it as uncharacterized. NCBI's taxonomy places the organism in Eukaryota, Metazoa, Chordata, Mammalia, Rodentia, Sciuridae. The record is from RefSeq and is a predicted model, not a curated record. The transcript has 2 exons.